CCUACGGGAGGCAGCAGUGGGGAAUAUUGCGCAAUGGGCGAAAGCCUGACGCAGCGACGCCGCGUGAGGGAUGAAGGUCUUCGGAUCGUAAACCUCUGUCAGCAGGGAAGAACGGUCACUGUGCUAAUCAGCAGUGAAUUGACGGUACCUACAAAGGAAGCACCGGCUAACUCCGUGCCAGCAGCCGCGGUAAUACGGAGGGUGCGAGCGUUAAUCGGAAUUACUGGGCGUAAAGCGCUCGUAGGCGGUAUGUCAAGUCAAGGGUGAAAUCCCGGGGCUCAACGUCGGAAUUGCCUCUGAUACUGGUCGGCUAGAGAGGAGGAGCGGUAUGCGGAAUGUAUGGUGUAGCGGUGAAAUGCUUAGAGAUCGUACAGAACACCGAUUGCGAAGGCAGCUUACC
RNAcentral lists this ribosomal RNA (400 nucleotides) under uncultured bacterium. RNAcentral's name for it is "partial 16S ribosomal RNA". It matches the Rfam family "Bacterial small subunit ribosomal RNA", at positions 338 to 730 of the family's 1533-position model. The record is from RNAcentral.